RNAcentral lists this long non-coding RNA (863 nucleotides) under Chinchilla lanigera (long-tailed chinchilla). RNAcentral's name for it is "lncRNA (ENSCLAG00000027565.1)". The record is from RNAcentral. Lineage: Eukaryota; Metazoa; Chordata; Mammalia; Rodentia; Chinchillidae.
AUGUUUGUGUGGGUGUGGAAGUGUAGGUGUGGCCUCCUCCACCUCUCAUUUGGCAGAGGUGGCCGGGCAGUUGGCCCCGCCCCCUUGUCACCCCUUGUACAAGACUGGCACGCAGGCUCUGAGUCCUGCCAGGACCUGUGGCAGCCCCAGCUGAAACAGACAGAAAAGAAUUUCUGGCACAGUUCCUUCCAGGGCAGGAGACCCUGGGAGGGUGGCCAGGAGGGUGCUUGGAAUAUGAGCAAGGCAGGCAGGUGGGGAAAGGGUAUUCCUAUCUUUCUCAUGAAACCAGCACGGAGAGGGGAAGCAUCUGCUCAGGGUCACACAGCAAGCAGUGGCAGAGCUGGACUAGAUUCUCAGAUGGACCGUAGCUCAUGGGGAUCUGCAUGGCCCUGUCGGCUGGAGGAUGACUCUCACUUUGCUGUACCAGCUUCCGAAGUCCUUUACCAGCACCUUGAAGGAGGUUCCCAGGCCCAGGGCAGAGGCUGGAUGGGUCAUCUGCCCAUCUCCUGUGGCAAGGGGCUAACUGCCAGUGCGACAUGUCCACUAUCAGCUGAGACCUGAGCAUCUACCUCCCAGGAGCCCAGCCCCUCCUUGGCCUGACCUCCACCCUUGGCCUCUGCUUCACCUGCCUUCUGUCACCAUGGAAACGCAGGCAAUGCCGCGGUGUCCUCUGGGAUUUGGAAGAGCAGCCCAUUUCCCUGGUUUUGGUGGGGGAGGGACAGGGGAUGGGAAGAGGGGAAGGGAAGUCCAGGGCUCCUUUGGGUGAAGAUUUAGAGUCUCUUGAAGAGGUCAUUAGCUCUUUAAUAAAUCACUAAUAAUUGCAUGAAUAUUUAAAUCUUAAUAAAAAAAUACAGUGGCCCAGC